GUGGGGAAUUUUGGACAAUGGGCGCAAGCCUGAUCCAGCAAUGCCGCGUGCAGGAAGAAGGCCUUCGGGUUGUAAACUGCUUUUGUACGGAACGAAACGGCUCUGGUUAAUACCCGGGGCUAAUGACGGUACCGUAAGAAUAAGCACCGGCUAACUACGUGCCAGCAGCCGCGGUAAUACGUAGGGUGCAAGCGUUAAUCGGAAUUACUGGGCGUAAAGCGUGCGCAGGCGGUUUUGUACGACAGGCGUGAAAUCCCCGGGCUCAACCUGGGAAUGGCGCUUGUGACUGCAAAGCUGGAGUGCGGCAGAGGGGGAUGGAAUUCCGCGUGUAGCAGUGAAAUGCGUAGAUAUGCGGAGGAACACCGAUGGCGAAGGCAAUCCCCUGGGCCUGCACUGACGCUCAUGCACGAAAGCGUGGGGAGCAAACAGGAUUAGAUACCCGUGUAGUCC
This 450-nucleotide ribosomal RNA is filed under the name uncultured bacterium. RNAcentral's name for it is "partial 16S ribosomal RNA". It matches the Rfam family "Bacterial small subunit ribosomal RNA", at positions 354 to 796 of the family's 1533-position model. The record is from RNAcentral.